AUGCCCUUCUUUGGCUGCAAGAAAGCUAAUUUUUUGAAAAAUAUCUGGGCAAAGGUUUCAAUCCAAUCGGAGUUACGGAUCUUUGGAUAUAAAAGAAACGGUGCAAGGGCAGAAUUCCAGAACGCGGAAACAGAGAGAGACAGAGAGAUAGAUCCAAUCUUGGAGGGGCUCUCGCCCCUCCCACGCCAUGGGAGCCAACGACCAGAGGGUAAACCCUUCUCCCAUCUAGGGAGGAGGUCAAGGAAGAAGAAGAAGAAGGGGAGCUCUCUCCCCCUUGCUUCCGGUGGCGCCGGAGCGCUGCCGGGGGCCAUCAUCAUCAACGCGAUCUUCACCAAUACCUCCGCCAUCUUCACUAACAUCUCCAUCACCUUCCCCCAUCUAUAUUCAGUGGUCGACUCUCCCGCAACCCGCUAUACCCUCUACUUGAACAUGGUGCUUUAUGCUUCAUAUUAUCAUCCAAUGAUGUGUUGCCAUCCUAUGAUGUCUGAGUAG
RNAcentral lists this ribosomal RNA (492 nucleotides) under Triticum aestivum (bread wheat). RNAcentral's name for it is "partial small subunit ribosomal RNA". The record is from RNAcentral. Lineage: Eukaryota; Viridiplantae; Streptophyta; Magnoliopsida; Poales; Poaceae.